GGCAAAAGAGAGCUUGAUUGCAAGACAUACAGGUCGAGCAAGGAUGAAAAUCGGACUUAGUGAUCCGGUGGUUCUGCGUGGAAGGGCCAUCGCUCAACGGAUAAAAGCUACCCUGGGGAUAACAGGCUUAUCUCCCCCAAGAGUCCACAUCGACGGGGAGGUUUGGCACCUCGAUGUCGGCUCAUCCCAUCCUGGGGCUGUAGUAGGUCCCAAGGGUUGGGCUGUUCGCCCAUUAAAGUGGUACGCGAGCUGGGUUCAGAACGUCGUGAGACAGUUCGGUCCCUAUCCGUCGCAGGCGUAGGAAAUUUGAGAAGACCUGUCCUUAGUACGAGAGGACCGGGAUGGACGUACCUCUGGUGUACCAGUUGU
Molecule: ribosomal RNA, 369 nt
Filed under: Clostridioides difficile
Lineage: Bacteria; Bacillati; Bacillota; Clostridia; Peptostreptococcales; Peptostreptococcaceae
Description: bacterial LSU rRNA
Rfam family: Bacterial large subunit ribosomal RNA
Source: RNAcentral